GUUGUUUCCAGGUGUGAGAGCGUUGUUUCCAGGUGUGAGAGCGUUGUUUCCAGGUGUGAGAGCGUUGUUUCCAGGUGUGAGAGCGUUGUUUCCAGGUGUGAGAGCGUUGUUUCCAGCUGUGAGAGCGUUGUUUCCAGGUGCCUUAGUGUUGUUUCCAGGUGCCUUAGUGUUGUUUCCAGGUAUGGGAACAUUGUUUCCAGGUGUCUUGGUGUUGUUUCCAGGUGUCUUGGUGUUGUUUCCAGGUAUGGGAGCGCUGUUUCCAGGUGUCUCAGCGUUGUUACCAAGUGUCUUGGUGUUGUUUCCGGGUGUC
Poeciliopsis prolifica (blackstripe livebearer) is the source of this 310-nucleotide long non-coding RNA. RefSeq lists it as uncharacterized. Lineage: Eukaryota; Metazoa; Chordata; Actinopteri; Cyprinodontiformes; Poeciliidae. The transcript is spliced from 3 exons. The record is from RefSeq and is a predicted model, not a curated record.